This 231-nucleotide ribosomal RNA is filed under the name uncultured Lactobacillus sp. Its description in RNAcentral is "partial 16S ribosomal RNA". It matches the Rfam family "Bacterial small subunit ribosomal RNA", at positions 132 to 354 of the family's 1533-position model. Lineage: Bacteria; Bacillati; Bacillota; Bacilli; Lactobacillales; Lactobacillaceae. The record is from RNAcentral.
AAGAGAUCGGGAUAACACCUGGAAACAAGAUGCUAAUACCGGAUAACAACAGAUGAUGCCUAUCAACUGUUUAAAAGAUGGUUCUGCUAUCACUCUUGGAUGGACCUGCGGUGCAUUAGCUAGUUGGUAGGGUAACGGCCUACCAAGGCGAUGAUGCAUAGCCGAGUUGAGAGACUGAUCGGCCACAUUGGGACUGAGACACGGCCCAAACUCCUACGGGAGGCAGCAGGC